UGGGGAAUUUUGGACAAUGGGCGAAAGCCUGAUCCAGCAAUGCCGCGUGUGUGAAGAAGGCCUUCGGGUUGUAAAGCACUUUUGUCCGGAAAGAAAUCCUUGGCUCUAAUACAGUCGGGGGAUGACGGUACCGGAAGAAUAAGCACCGGCUAACUACGUGCCAGCAGCCGCGGUAAUACGUAGGGUGCAAGCGUUAAUCGGAAUUACUGGGCGUAAAGCGUGCGCAGGCGGUUUGCUAAGACCGAUGUGAAAUCCCCGGGCUCAACCUGGGAACUGCAUUGGUGACUGGCAGGCUAGAGUAUGGCAGAGGGGGGUAGAAUUCCACGUGUAGCAGUGAAAUGCGUAGAGAUGUGGAGGAAUACCGAUGGCGAAGGCAGCCCCCUGGGCCAAAUACUGACGCUCAUGCACGAAAGCGUGGGGAGCAAACAGGAUUCAGAUACCCUGGUAGUCCACGCCCUAAACGAUGUCAACUAGCUGUUGGGGACUUCAUUUCCUUAGUAACGUAGCUAACGCGUGAAGUUGACCGCCUGGGGAGUACGG
This 540-nucleotide ribosomal RNA is filed under the name uncultured bacterium. RNAcentral's name for it is "partial 16S ribosomal RNA". It matches the Rfam family "Bacterial small subunit ribosomal RNA", at positions 355 to 885 of the family's 1533-position model. The record is from RNAcentral.